GGGUUGUGAGGUUAAGCGACUAAGCGUACACGGUGGAUGCCCUGGCAGUCAGAGGCGAUGAAGGACGUGCUAAUCUGCGAUAAGCGUCGGUAAGGUGAUAUGAACCGUUAUAACCGGCGAUUUCCGAAUGGGGAAACCCAGUGUGAUUCGUCACACUAUCAUUAACUGAAUCCAUAGGUUAAUGAGGCGAACCGGGGGAACUGAAACAUCUAAGUACCCCGAGGAAAAGAAAUCAACCGAGAUUCCCCCAGUAGCGGCGAGCGAACGGGGAGCAGCCCAGAGCCUGAAUCAGUGUGUGUGUUAGUGGAAGCGUCUGGAAAGGCGCGCGAUACAGGGUGACAGCCCCGUACACAAAAAUGCACAUACUGUGAGCUCGAUGAGUAGGGCGGGACACGUGGUAUCCUGUCUGAAUAUGGGGGGACCAUCCUCCAAGGCUAAAUACUCCUGACUGACCGAUAGUGAACCAGUACCGUGAGGGAAAGGCGAAAAGAACCCCGGCGAGGGGAGUGAAAAAGAACCUGAAACCGUGUACGUACAAGCAGUGGGAGCACAGAGCAAUCUGUGUGACUGCGUACCUUUUGUAUAAUGGGUCAGCGACUUAUAUUCUGUAGCAAGGUUAACCGAAUAGGGGAGCCGAAGGGAAACCGAGUCUUAACUGGGCGUUAAGUUGCAGGGUAUAGACCCGAAACCCGGUGAUCUAGCCAUGGGCAGGUUGAAGGUUGGGUAACACUAACUGGAGGACCGAACCGACUAAUGUUGAAAAAUUAGCGGAUGACUUGUGGCUGGGGGUGAAAGGCCAAUCAAACCGGGAGAUAGCUGGUUCUCCCCGAAAGCUAUUUAGGUAGCGCCUCGUGAAUUCAUCUCCGGGGGUAGAGCACUGUUUCGGCAAGGGGGUCAUCCCGACUUACCAACCCGAUGCAAACUGCGAAUACCGGAGAAUGUUAUCACGGGAGACACACGGCGGGUGCUAACGUCCGUCGUGAAGAGGGAAACAACCCAGACCGCCAGCUAAGGUCCCAAAGUCAUGGUUAAGUGGGAAACGAUGUGGGAAGGCCCAGACAGCCAGGAUGUUGGCUUAGAAGCAGCCAUCAUUUAAAGAAAGCGUAAUAGCUCACUGGUCGAGUCGGCCUGCGCGGAAGAUGUAACGGGGCUAAACCAUGCACCGAAGCUGCGGCAGCGACGCUUAUGCGUUGUUGGGUAGGGGAGCGUUCUGUAAGCCUGCGAAGGUGUGCUGUGAGGCAUGCUGGAGGUAUCAGAAGUGCGAAUGCUGACAUAAGUAACGAUAAAGCGGGUGAAAAGCCCGCUCGCCGGAAGACCAAGGGUUCCUGUCCAACGUUAAUCGGGGCAGGGUGAGUCGACCCCUAAGGCGAGGCCGAAAGGCGUAGUCGAUGGGAAACAGGUUAAUAUUCCUGUACUUGGUGUUACUGCGAAGGGGGGACGGAGAAGGCUAUGUUGGCCGGGCGACGGUUGUCCCGGUUUAAGCGUGUAGGCUGGUUUUCCAGGCAAAUCCGGAAAAUCAAGGCUGAGGCGUGAUGACGAGGCACUACGGUGCUGAAGCAACAAAUGCCCUGCUUCCAGGAAAAGCCUCUAAGCAUCAGGUAACAUCAAAUCGUACCCCAAACCGACACAGGUGGUCAGGUAGAGAAUACCAAGGCGCUUGAGAGAACUCGGGUGAAGGAACUAGGCAAAAUGGUGCCGUAACUUCGGGAGAAGGCACGCUGAUAUGUAGGUGAAGUCCCUCGCGGAUGGAGCUGAAAUCAGUCGAAGAUACCAGCUGGCUGCAACUGUUUAUUAAAAACACAGCACUGUGCAAACACGAAAGUGGACGUAUACGGUGUGACGCCUGCCCGGUGCCGGAAGGUUAAUUGAUGGGGUCAGCGCAAGCGAAGCUCUUGAUCGAAGCCCCGGUAAACGGCGGCCGUAACUAUAACGGUCCUAAGGUAGCGAAAUUCCUUGUCGGGUAAGUUCCGACCUGCACGAAUGGCGUAAUGAUGGCCAGGCUGUCUCCACCCGAGACUCAGUGAAAUUGAACUCGCUGUGAAGAUGCAGUGUACCCGCGGCAAGACGGAAAGACCCCGUGAACCUUUACUAUAGCUUGACACUGAACAUUGAGCCUUGAUGUGUAGGAUAGGUGGGAGGCUUUGAAGUGUGGACGCCAGUCUGCAUGGAGCCGACCUUGAAAUACCACCCUUUAAUGUUUGAUGUUCUAACGU
RNAcentral lists this ribosomal RNA (2213 nucleotides) under Escherichia coli. RNAcentral's name for it is "bacterial LSU rRNA". It matches the Rfam family "Bacterial large subunit ribosomal RNA", at positions 1 to 2228 of the family's 2925-position model. Lineage: Bacteria; Pseudomonadati; Pseudomonadota; Gammaproteobacteria; Enterobacterales; Enterobacteriaceae. The record is from RNAcentral.